UGCCGCAUGGUCUAGUGGUCAGGACGACCAGCAUGUAGCUGGGAGACCCAGGUUCGAUUCCUGGUGCGGUAU
Molecule: non-coding RNA, 72 nt
Organism: Glossina pallidipes
Lineage: Eukaryota; Metazoa; Arthropoda; Insecta; Diptera; Glossinidae
Source: Rfam